This 76-nucleotide transfer RNA is filed under the name Engelhardtia mirabilis. RNAcentral describes it as "Planctomycetes bacterium Pla133 tRNA-Trp". It matches the Rfam family "tRNA". From Rfam's summary of the family: Transfer RNA (tRNA) molecules are approximately 80 nucleotides in length. Their secondary structure includes four short double-helical elements and three loops (D, anti-codon, and T loops). Further hydrogen bonds mediate the characteristic L-shaped molecular structure. tRNAs have two regions of fundamental functional importance: the anti-codon, which is responsible for specific mRNA codon recognition, and the 3' end, to which the tRNAs corresponding amino acid is attached (by aminoacyl-tRNA synthetases). tRNAs cope with the degeneracy of the genetic code in two manners: having more than one tRNA (with a specific anti-codon) for a particular amino acid; and 'wobble' base-pairing, i.e. permitting non-standard base-pairing at the 3rd anti-codon position. The record is from RNAcentral. Lineage: Bacteria; Pseudomonadati; Planctomycetota; Planctomycetia.
AGGGCAGUAGCUCCAACGGUAGAGCGGUUGAUUCCAAAUCAAUAGGUUGGGGGUUCGAAUCCCUCCUGCCCUGCCA